UACGUAGGGUGCGAGCGUUGUCCGGAAUUAUUGGGCGUAAAGGGCUCGUAGGCGGUUUGUCGCGUCGGGAGUGAAAACAUCCAGCUUAACUGGGUGCUUGCUUUCGAUACGGGCAGACUUGAGGUAUGCAGGGGAGAAUGGAAUUCCUGGUGUAGCGGUGAAAUGCGCGGAUAUCAGGAGGAACACCGGUGGCGAAGGCGGUUCUCUGGGCAUUACCUGACGCUGAGGAGCGAAAGUGUGGGGAGCGAACAGG
This 253-nucleotide ribosomal RNA is filed under the name uncultured bacterium. RNAcentral describes it as "partial 16S ribosomal RNA". It matches the Rfam family "Bacterial small subunit ribosomal RNA", at positions 524 to 776 of the family's 1533-position model. The record is from RNAcentral.